Halichondria panicea is the source of this 3104-nucleotide long non-coding RNA. RefSeq lists it as uncharacterized. The record is from RefSeq and is a predicted model, not a curated record. Lineage: Eukaryota; Metazoa; Porifera; Demospongiae; Suberitida; Halichondriidae. The transcript is spliced from 4 exons.
UUCAUUGAAUAAAUUUCAUGGUUGACUGCUUACCGGAAGCAGUCCCAGGCCCCACCGUCAAUGUUUGCACGUUGUAGUAAUAAGUUUUGUGUAGCAUUGCUAACCUACUAAAACAGCGAAAAUUAAGCCCUUUGAAACUACAUGUAUACGGAGGGUUAUUUAACCGAAUAGCCGCGGUUAUGAUUUCAUACGUAGUACCGCCCACCGCGGAACCAAAAUCUAAUUAAUUUUAAAUUACUUUCAUUAUCAGCUCCUAGCAAAGAAAGAUGCGUAGCUAAGAAGCAGUAGUAGUUUUCUGCAGGCAACUUUGUUGCAAACUAGUCUAGAAUAGCUACUCUGCCAGGAUCUCUAAGUUUUGAACGGAGGAGUAUACCAGCCAAGGCCCCAGCGAAGGAUCAUUUCACAACAUUCACCUCUAGCAAAGAAAGAUGCAUAACUUGGAAACAGUGACAGUUUUCUUUAUUCAACUUCUUACUAAAGUAGUCUACAGUAGUUACUGUGUCAGGAUCUCCUGGUUUCCAACGAAACAGUCAACCAGCCAAGGGCCAGAGCAAGGGAUCACUUCAGAGUGUGGCAAAGAAAGAUGCACCCCUUAGUAACAGUAACAGUUCUCUUCAAGCUACCUUGUAGUUCUAUCUGAACAGUCGAAGAGUCAACCAGCCAAGGACAGAGCGAGAGAUUACUUUAGAGGUCUGUGAAACUAUCGUCACUGCUAUCUGCCAUGGAACCACCACCAUCGUAUGGGUCUGAGAAGGUCUACUCACUGUGACUACUAUCCAGGAUACCUAGGAGUACCUCAUCCCCUGUGUACAGAGGCCUCUUAGUCAUUGUUGUACCAUAGAAUUAAUUGUAAUUGUAUUUAUUAUAAUGUAUGUUCACUUUUGAGAUUGAUUGAAAUACAAAUUUCACAUGAAAAUUUCAGCAAAUUUUUGAUUGCUAACCUAUGGUGAUCGGACUCAGUACGGCUUCUGUUGACCUUCGAGAGAAGCCUUGCAAAGCUGUGGAGCUCUGGAAGGUUGUAGCUCACCACAAAUUAAUUAAGAGUAGAGUAAUGUGCGGUUGCCGCUUCAAAGCGUCAACCGCGGCUACCAGCUAUUCACGUAUUGACGCUUCAAAGCGUCAACCGCGGCUAUUCGGUUAAAGUCAGUGAAUUAGAGGUGAAUUAGAGGUGUAUUCGCGAGUUCAAGUUUUGGCGAUUUUACUGUCAUUUGUACAACCUCAAAAAAAUGUGUCACCUACCUGUAUAGACUGCACCAUUUUUACGUACUGUAUAGCGUGAAAUUUUCGAGGGGCUGAUUUCGUAGGUUAGCAAUCCAUUUUUACGUACCGUAUAGCGCGAAAUUUUUGAGGGGCAGGUUAGCAAUCCUACACGAAAAUUAAGUCCUUUAGUUAGAAUUAUCUGCUAUAAUGUGCAAAGAUUAAAGGCGUGGGUUCCGGUAGGCAGUCAUUCCACGCACAUUGCGCAACGAAAUGCUUUUAGAGGCCAUUCCAAAAUAUAAGUGCCUCGAAAAUUUUGCGCUAUACGAUAAUACAUGUAUAACAAUAAUUGUGUAAGGUAUACCAGGAGUGCAUGCAUGAAGAGGAGUAAGCAACUACAGUACAGCCCAUAAAAAAAGAGUAAUUUUCGUUGGUGCAAAUUUUUGUAUGAGACCAUUAAAUUUUAAAUAUUAGUACAGCUUAGGAUAGUGACUUUGAAUUUAUUGUGGUAGAAUAAUUUCGUUUCAUAUGAUGCUCUUCAAUACGAACUAAAUUUCCACCGUACAAAAAUAACCCGCUAUAUACGGUAUGUGUGUAAAACGCCCACACUCUCAAGUGGCUCUACAACCACACUCAAAACACUGUGGUUAUAACUGCAUGUAGCUACAUGUAUUGUGCAAACAUAAUUAUCGUAUAUGCUUGAUCAGGAGCCGCGGCUACUAAAUGUUUCAUUUUGCUAGAAGAGGAGGCUACAAUUCAAGAGGGGCCACUGUUCAAGAGCGGCGUUUAUUAGCUCCAGAUAAUUUAGUUUGUCAUCAAAUGUUGUUUUCACCUGCAUGAACUUGAAUUCUGCCAUGAGAAAGUCUUUUUGAAGCACUAACAAGCUGCUACUCAUAGCUACGUACAUGUAGCUAGCUGCUAGUAAAAAUUUUUUUGGCUGCCACGUGUAGAAAUGCUAGAGUCAAAGUUCACUGAGGCUACUAUCUGAGAGCGGCUACUAAAUGUUUCAUUUUGCUAGCAAGGGAGGCUACUAUUUGAGUGCGGCCUUUAUACAAGAGCGGCCUCUGAUCGAGCAUAUACGGUAUGCGUAGAAUUUUUGAUUGUAGCCUGUCCGCUUUAGCCGUUAUGUCGGCCACACAGGUUCAAGUGUUUGUGGCGUAGAGAGACAAUUAACAACGUAUUAUGUGAGUGCGGCCUUUAUACAAGAGCGGCCUCUGAUCGAGCAUAUACGGUAUGCGUAGAAUUUCUGAUUGUAGCCUGUCCGCUUUAGCCAUACAUGGUCAUGUCGGCCACACAGGUUCGAGUGUUUGUGACGUAGAGAGACAACAACGUGUAUAUAGUAGUUGUCUCCUCACCUUCUUGUACUCCUAUACAGUAAAAUCAGGGGGGAGGGGGAUAUCCCCCCUAUUUCCAAUUUCCCCCCCUAAAAUUUGUAUUCAGGUAUACUACCGUAUAAUCUGGUUAGUAAGCGCAUGCGCCUAUAGGGAAAAGAGCAGGCCUCUGUAUGCGCCUAUUAUCCAGAUGCGCUUGUAUAGAGCUCAAUCGUUUGUCUGCAAGAAGUUUAUAGUCAUAUCUGACAGCAGUAACACAACUAUGGUAGUGAAAGAGACUUAACGUCUAUAAAGAAGCGUGGAGACCAGUUGUUGGGCAGAGAACUGUGCUGCGCCUUCUAUCAAGGCUUUUGGUCUGCUUACCAGAGUGCGCUUAUGAGUUGAUGUGCUCUUAUUAACCAAGUGCGCUUAUUAAUCAGAUUAUACGGUAGUUGGUGUCCAUAGCUGGCAAUUUUACAUGGUAUUGAAAUAACAGUUAACCUUUUUUUAGCAACAUUUUCUAGUUGCUUUCCUUAAUUAUAUAUAUUUCCUCCUCUGCUUCAAAAUCCUGUAUAUGACACCCUAUACGAACUUAUC